UUCGACCUGAGUUCAGGCAGGGCUACCCGCUGAACUUAAGCAUAUCAAUAAGCGGUGGAAAAGAAACCAACCGGGAUUCCCUUAGUAACGGCGAGCGAACAGGGAUGAGCCCAGUUUGUAAAUCUCCAGCCUCUGGGCUGGCGAAUUGUAGUCUGGAGGAGUGUUCCCUGGGGGGCAGCUGACCGAAGUAUACUGGAAGGUAUCGCUCGAGAGGGUGAGAGCCCCGUAGGUCAGCCUUGCCCCUCUUCACGGGACGCUUUCGAAGAGUCGGGUUGUUUGGGAAUGCAGCCCUAAUUGGGUGGUAAACCCCAUCUAAGGCUAAAUAUCAAUGGGAGACCGAUAGCGAAAAAGUACCUCGAGGGAACGAUGAAAAGACCGCUGGCAAGCGAGUAAAAGAGUGCAUGAAAUUGUGUAGUGGGAAGGGAUGGCCCGGUAGCGUGCGCCUGGGCUGAUGUGGCUCGUUUGAGCUGCUGUUUGCACCAGGUGCUGGCUGGCACCGGCACUUCCGGCCGUACAACCCCCAGCUAAGGUGUUGGGCACUGCGGUCGGAGGUGCCGAGGUUGAUCAGAGCUUUGCCCUUCGGGAGCUGCCCUGACAGGGUGCCAGCUGAAGCCGGUC
Molecule: ribosomal RNA, 618 nt
Filed under: Wittrockiella australis
Lineage: Eukaryota; Viridiplantae; Chlorophyta; Ulvophyceae; Cladophorales; Pithophoraceae
Description: eukaryotic LSU rRNA
Rfam family: Eukaryotic large subunit ribosomal RNA
Source: RNAcentral